RNAcentral lists this ribosomal RNA (1385 nucleotides) under uncultured bacterium. RNAcentral's name for it is "bacterial SSU rRNA". It matches the Rfam family "Bacterial small subunit ribosomal RNA". The record is from RNAcentral.
UUUGAUCCUGGCUCAAGACGAACGCUGGCGGCGUGCUUAACACAUGCAAGUCGAACGAUGAAGCCUAGCUUGCUAGGUGGAUUAGUGGCGAACGGGUGAGUAAUACGUGAGUCGACCUACCUUUGACUCUGGGAUAAGCCUGGGAAACUGGGUCUAAUACCGGAUACGACCAAUCUCCGCAUGGGGUGUUGGUGGAAAGCGUUAUGGAGUGGUUUUAGAUGGGCUCACGGCCUAUCAGCUUGUUGGUGAGGUAAUGGCUUACCAAGGCGACGACGGGUAGCCGGCCUGAGAGGGUGACCGGCCACACUGGGACUGAGACACGGCCCAGACUCCUACGGGAGGCAGCAGUGGGGAAUAUUGCACAAUGGGCGCAAGCCUGAUGCAGCGACGCCGCGUGAGGGAUGACGGCCUUCGGGUUUGUAAACCUCUGUUAGCAUCGAAGAAGCGAAAGUGACGGUAGGUGCAGAGAAAGCGCCGGCUAACUACGUGCCAGCAGCCGCGGUAAUACGUAGGGCGCGAGCGUUGUCCGGAAUUAUUGGGCGUAAAGAGCUUGUAGGCGGUUGGUCGCGUCUGCUGUGAAAGGCUGGGGCUUAACCCUGGUUUUGCAGUGGGUACGGGCUAACUAGAGUGCAGUAGGGGAGACUGGAAUUCCUGGUGUAGCGGUGGAAUGCGCAGAUAUCAGGAGGAACACCGAUGGCGAAGGCAGGUCUCUGGGCUGUAACUGACGCUGAGAAGCGAAAGCAUGGGGAGCGAACAGGAUUAGAUACCCUGGUAGUCCAUGCCGUAAACGUUGGGCACUAGGUGUGGGGGACAUUCCACGUUUUCCGCGCCGUAGCUAACGCAUUAAGUGCCCCGCCUGGGGAGUACGGCCGCAAGGCUAAAACUCAAAGAAAUUGACGGGGGCCCGCACAAGCGGCGGAGCAUGCGGAUUAAUUCGAUGCAACGCGAAGAACCUUACCAAGGCUUGACAUAUACUGGACUGCGUCAGAGAUGGCGUUUCCCUUCGGGGCUGGUAUACAGGUGGUGCAUGGUUGUCGUCAGCUCGUGUCGUGAGAUGUUGGGUUAAGUCCCGCAACGAGCGCAGCCCUCGUUCUAUGUUGCCAGCACGUGAUGGUGGGGACUCAUAGGAGACUGCCGGGGUCAACUCGGAGGAAGGUGGGGAUGACGUCAAAUCAUCAUGCCCCUUAUGUCUUGGGCUUCACGCAUGCUACAAUGGCCGGUACAGAGGGUUGCGAUACUGUGAGGUGGAGCUAAUCCCUAAAAGCCGGUCUCAGUUCGGAUUGGGGUCUGCAACUCGACCCCAUGAAGUCGGAGUCGCUAGUAAUCGCAGAUCAGCAACGCUGCGGUGAAUACGUUCCCGGGCCUUGUACACACCGCCCGUCAAG